Molecule: ribosomal RNA, 373 nt
Filed under: uncultured bacterium
Lineage: Bacteria
Description: bacterial SSU rRNA
Rfam family: Bacterial small subunit ribosomal RNA
Source: RNAcentral
ACGAAGGUCCCGAGCGUUGUUCGGAAUCACUGGGCGUAAAGGGAGCGUAGGCGGUGCGGUAAGUCAGAUGUGAAAUCCCGGGGCUCAACCCCGGAACUGCAUCCGAUACUGCCGUGCUAGAGGAUUGGAGAGGUAGCUGGAAUUCUUGGUGUAGCAGUGAAAUGCGUGGAUAUCAAGAGGAACACUCGUGGCGAAAGCGAGCUACUGGACAACUCCUGACGCUGAGGCUCGAAGGCCAGGGUAGCGAAAGGGAUUAGAUACCCCUGUAGUCCUGGCAGUAAACGGUGCACGCUUGGUGUGAGGGGAUUCGACCCCCCUUGUGCCGGAGCAAACGCGUUAAGCGUGCCGCCUGGGAAGUACGGUCGCAAGACUA